GACGAACGCUGGCGGCGUGCUUAACACAUGCAAGUCGAGCGGUAAGGCCCCUUCGGGGGUACACGAGCGGCGGACGGGGGAGUAACACGUAAGCAAUCUGCCCAUCACAUCGGGAUAACUCCGGGAAACCGAAGCUAAUACCGCAUACGACCACCUCCGGCAUCGGAUGGUGGUGGAAAGUUCCUGCGGUGAUGGAUGGGCUCCGGGCCUAUCAGCUUGUUGGUGGGGUACGGGCCAACCACGGCUUCGACGGGUGGCCGGCCUGAGAGGGGGACCGGCCACACUGGGACUGAGACACGGCCCAGACUCCUACGGGAGGCAGCAGUGGGGAAUAUUGGACAAUGGGCGAAAGCCUGAUCCAGCAACGCCGCGUGAGGGAUGACGGCCUUCGGGUUGUAAACCUCUUUCAGCAGGGACGAAGCGGAAGUGACGGUACCUGCAGAAGAAGCACCGGCCAACUACGUG
Molecule: ribosomal RNA, 465 nt
Filed under: uncultured bacterium
Lineage: Bacteria
Description: partial 16S ribosomal RNA
Rfam family: Bacterial small subunit ribosomal RNA
Source: RNAcentral